AUCCAGCCGAUAAGUCCCAAAUGGGACGAAACGCGCAUCCUGGAU
Molecule: non-coding RNA, 45 nt
Organism: Schistosoma mansoni
Lineage: Eukaryota; Metazoa; Platyhelminthes; Trematoda; Strigeidida; Schistosomatidae
Source: Rfam